UUUUCGCAAAAGGAAAAAAUGGCGCCCAGCUCGAAAUCGGAAAAAGAAGACAACGGCAAUAAACAAAAACAGCAGCGAAAACACAAAGACCACAUUGUUAAACUCCUCACUCGCGGAAAGUUGUCCGGCCAGCUGUCUCAGAGACUGUUUCGCAAGCUGCCGCCCCGGGUGUGUGUCCCCUUAAAGACUAUAGUGAGCGAGGAGUUCCUCCGGGCAGGUCACAUCUUCCUGGGCUUUACAAAGUGCGGGCGUUAUGUUUUGUCCUACACGAGCGAUUGUGGCGAAGACGACGAUUUCUCCUUCUACACCUACCAUCUGUACUGGUGGGAGUUCAACCUGCACAGUCGCCUCAAACAGGUGCACCAUGUGCGUUUGUUUGCGGGUGAAGACAUCUACAGUGAGCUGUACCUGACCGUCUGCGAGUGGCACAAUGAUCACUCAAAGAUCGUCAUUUUCGGCUUCAAUACUCGCAGCAGCACGGCUCUGAUGAACAUGAUGAUGAGUGACGAGAAUAACAGAGACAUUUACAUCACUAUCGCCUCCAUGCCUCCUGCACAACGGUGCCAACAAUGCUGCCCUCUGCCCACUACAUCAACGAUACGGACAGGAGGGGAGUGUCUGGAGCACGGCUACGUCCUGAACGCUCGUUAUCAGGUGGUUUAUCCGUUCCCCACCUUCCAGCCAGCUCUGCAGCUGAAGAAGGAUCAGGUCAUCCUCCUCAACACCAGCUACUCACUGGUGGCCUGCGCCAUCUCACUCUGCUCCGGCGGAGAGCAGCAGCAGGUGGACGGACAGAAUAAUCAAAUCCUGUACCGAAAAAGAGAGAUUCCUGCUUCCUCCUGUCAUCAUCCUCCCAGCCCGUCCACCUCCUCUACCUCUUCGUCCUCUUCUCACGGGUCACCUGACCGCAGACCGUCCAAUCCCCACGCCACGCCGCUCUCUCCUAGCCGAUCCCAGGCCGCCGUGCGAGCGCGCGAGUUCGCUGCUGAUAUUUUCCGGCGUGCGCAGGCAGGGACCGACGGAGACCGAGACGGCGAGCGGAGAAGGAAGGACGGCGAGGCCAGAGAGGCAAAAAUCUCACGCACGUCCGCCGCAGACUCGGAACGAAGGAGAGUAGAGGACGCGGACGGGCCGUCCACGUCACACGGGAAAGGAAACACCACGUCGUCCGCUGAGCCGGACGAGGGCGUCUCCGGUAACACGGUCAUGUCCCCAGCGUCCGUGUCCUCUUUGUGCUCGCCUUCGCCGCCGUCAUCAUCGUCCACGUCAGAGCCCGGAUACGUGAACUACGCACGACUCAGAUACAGGCUGCAGCAGCCCGGGACGACCGAGCAGGACAGCGGAGAAGAGGAGGAUAAAGUCCAGCUGCCGUUCACCGUCUCGGACCUGAAGGGACGAAACCUGCAGCUGGUGACGGGACAGUACACGGGACCGUGUGUGUGUGUGGAGCAGCUGACCCUGGAUUUUGAGUAUCUGAUUAACGAGGUGAUCAGAAAUGAUGCAGAGUGGGCCUCGCAGUUCUGUUCCUUCAGCGACUAUGACGUCGUAAUCCUUGAGGUUUGCCCGGAGACAAAUAUAGUAGUGAUAAACAUCGGGCUUCUGCUGCUGGCCUUCUCCAACUGCGAGGAGGAGCACAGCAGGCCUAAGUCGUAUCAUUCCAGUCUGCAGGUCAGCUGGGAUCUGAAUACGGGUGCCUGCUGCACCGUUGGUGUCGGUGACCUCACCGAGGUCAAAGGUCAAACCAGUGGGAGUGUGUGGAGUUCUUACAGGAAGUCGUGUGUAAACACGGUCAUGAGGUGGCUCGUCCCUGAGAGCAGCUCACGCUACAUCAACCGCAUGACCAAUGAAGCCCUGCACAAAGGUACCUCUCUUCAAGUACUCGCUGACAGCGACAGAGCCACGUGGAUCGUCCUGCAAUGAAGACACCAUAGCUCGCGCACACACAUUGGCAUAGCGGUUUUAUCUCUGUCCACACUUCGUAUUUAAAAAGAUGUGGAGCGAAAGCCUCGACUGUGUGUCCAGUGAGCCAAACGCGUUGCUGCUGCACUGAGAUCAGACUCUCCGCUGGAACGAACAAAGCGUCUCUAACUCGCCGUCUUUUAUACAUUGCGUCUUUUGUUGUUGUUGUCGUUGUUGUUGUUAUCGUUGUUGUGUAUGUGAUCGAUCUGUUCGUGUGCACGGUUCAACAAAUUUAACCGCCUUUACCCACCGUCAGUAUCGAUCAGGGACAAGUUUCUUUCCCGAACCCUCUGCCAUGAGGUGUUUCGGGGUUUUUAUUUUCCUCUUCCUGUACAGAUCUAACACACUCGAUGUUCCCAACAUGGUGCUUUAACCCGGAUCGGUGUCUUUGGGUUUUGGUCAGAUUAUCCGCAAGUGACCGGUGACUGAUUUUAGCGGCUCGUCGGCCAAAUCUCAGGUUUACACGAUUCGAGCUUAACAAAUCACAAAGCUUUAGUCAGACAUGCUUCUAACUUUUGUAAAGUUGUUUUCCCCAUCUCUCUCUCUCUCUCUCACACACACACACACACGCACACACAGAGGGGUCUUCUCAGCAUUUGUUAUUUAUCUAUGAACACAAUUUGUCGUCUAGUCUAGACCAGCAGUUCUGCUGUUAAACAACGUGGCUAGUCCCCGGCUUUGUUGGUUUGAGCUGCGUCCAGCCGCGAAGACUCCAUCCGUUCCAGAUCUGCACCUUUCUCGUUAUUCAUCGAUCCCUCAGACGAUCAAAAGUAGAUAAAACACUAACACAUGCUUUAAAAAAUAACCAAGGACCACUAUUCUGAACAGCUUCAGAUUUGAUUUGAUCUCGUAAGAACCGUACGCAUACCUGUAAACAUUUUGGUUGCAGGGUCGAGCGUGAGCGACGUUCUCCGGGAACGUUCUCGUCCGUGAACUCAUGUAGGUGCUACGUCGGGGACCUGCGCAUCAUACAGCAUUUCUUCGAGGAAAUAUUGCAAAUUUUGCUCAUUCAAAACAUCCAAAAAUUGUAGUUGGAAAAACGAACGCUGCGUUGGACUAGAGGUCGUAACUCGUAACUCCCAAACUCUGACCAGGAAACACCCCAAGAAAACGCCCUCUUCAGCUCUGCUCGGGGUCCCGAGAUGAUCCUGUCCCCUCAAGUCCGAGUUCCUCGGAGUUCAGCAAGUGACGUCGGAUCAACACGGCUGCUCACAGCAUCGACGUUGUGAGUGCUGUUGAACAGGUCCGUCCUGGCUAAUUUGGCGGGCGGUUCCAGAGACUCCUCCCCCACAGCAUUCGCGUCGACCGGUAUAGGCAUCUGGUCCUCAUCACUCUCGUCCUCUUCCUCUUC
This is an RNA transcript of Ictalurus furcatus (blue catfish), 3310 nucleotides long. It is a transcript of the gene named DDB1 and CUL4 associated factor 15, with no coding region annotated. The record is from RefSeq and is a predicted model, not a curated record. The transcript is spliced from 15 exons. NCBI's taxonomy places the organism in Eukaryota, Metazoa, Chordata, Actinopteri, Siluriformes, Ictaluridae.